AUUCGGCGUCACUGGAACUGGUUUGCAGUCUAGUGCAUGCAAUAUGAAGUCAUGACUAGACUGAUAACCAGCUCUAGUUUCGUUC
Molecule: microRNA precursor, 85 nt
Filed under: Ascaris suum (pig roundworm)
Lineage: Eukaryota; Metazoa; Nematoda; Chromadorea; Rhabditida; Ascarididae
Source: RNAcentral